This 434-nucleotide ribosomal RNA is filed under the name uncultured Clostridium sp. RNAcentral's name for it is "partial 16S ribosomal RNA". It matches the Rfam family "Bacterial small subunit ribosomal RNA", at positions 341 to 792 of the family's 1533-position model. Lineage: Bacteria; Bacillati; Bacillota; Clostridia; Eubacteriales; Clostridiaceae. The record is from RNAcentral.
ACGGAAGGCAGCAGUGGGGGAUAUUGGACAAUGGGGGCAACCCUGAUCCAGCGACGCCGCGUGAGGGAAGAAGGUUUUCGGAUUGUAAACCUCUGUUGAUGGGGAAACUAAUGAUGGUACCCAUUUAGAAAGCCACGGCUAACUACGUGCCAGCAGCCGCGGUAAUACGUAGGUGGCAAGCGUUGUCCGGAAUUACUGGGUGUAAAGGGAGCGUAGGCGGGACUGCAAGUCAGAAGUGAAAAUUAUGGGCUCAACUCAUAACCUGCUUUUGAAACUGUAGUUCUUGAGUGAAGUAGAGGCAAGCGGAAUUCCUAGUGUAGCGGUGAAAUGCGUAGAUAUUAGGAGGAACACCAGUGGCGAAGGCGGCUUGCUGGGCUUUUACUGACGCUGAGGCUCGAAAGCGUGGGGAGCAAACAGGAUUAGAUACCCUGGUA